This 537-nucleotide ribosomal RNA is filed under the name uncultured bacterium. RNAcentral describes it as "bacterial SSU rRNA". It matches the Rfam family "Bacterial small subunit ribosomal RNA", at positions 777 to 1314 of the family's 1533-position model. The record is from RNAcentral.
AAUAGAUACCCUGGUAGUCCACGCCGUAAACGGUGGGCACUAGAUGUGGGGCUCUUUCCAUGAGUUCCGCGUCGCAGCUAACGCAUUAAGUGCCCCGCCUGGGGAGUACGGCCGCAAGGCUAAAACUCAAAGGAAUUGACGGGGGCCCGCACAAGCGGCGGAGCAUGCGGAUUAAUUCGAUGCAACGCGAAGAACCUUACCAAGGCUUGACAUAUACCGUUUAUCCCUAGAGAUAGGGAGUCCUUCGGGGCGGUAUACAGGUGGUGCAUGGUUGUCGUCAGCUCGUGUCGUGAGAUGUUGGGUUAAGUCCCGCAACGAGCGCAACCCUCGUUCUAUGUUGCCAGCGCGUAAUGGCGGGGACUCAUAGGAGACUGCCGGGGUCAACUCGGAGGAAGGUGGGGAUGGACGUCAAAUCAUCAUGCCCCUUAUGUCUUGGGCUUCACGCAUGCUACAAUGGCCGGUACAAAGGGCUGCAAUACCGCAAGGUGGAGCGAAUCCCAAAAGCCGGUCUCAGUUCGGAUUGAGGUCUGCAACUCG